CCUACGGGAUGCAGCAGUAGGGAAUCUUUCACAAUGGGCGAAAGCCUGAUGGAGCAACGCCGCGUGAAGGACGAAGGUGCCAAGCAUUGUAAACUUCUUUUGUCAAGGGACAAAAUCAGGCUCGAGAGCCUGACCGAGGGUACUUGAAGAAAAAGCAUCGGCUAACUCCGUGCCAGCAGCCGCGGUAAUACGGAGGAUGCGAGCGUUAUCCGGAUUUAUUGGGUUUAAAGGGUGCGUAGGCGGGCUGUUAAGUCAGCGGUAAAAGCCCGGGGCUCAACCCCGGCGAGCCGUUGAAACUGGCUGUCUUGAGAUGUCGAGAGGUAUGCGGAAUGCGCAGUGUAGCGGUGACAUGCUUAGAUAUUGCGCAGAACUCCGAUUGCGAAGGCAGCAUACCGGCGGCGAUCUGACGCUGAGGCACGAAAGCGUGGGUAUCGAACAGGAUUAGAUACCCCUGUAGUC
Molecule: ribosomal RNA, 459 nt
Filed under: uncultured bacterium
Lineage: Bacteria
Description: partial 16S ribosomal RNA
Rfam family: Bacterial small subunit ribosomal RNA
Source: RNAcentral